Molecule: ribosomal RNA, 253 nt
Filed under: uncultured bacterium
Lineage: Bacteria
Description: partial 16S ribosomal RNA
Rfam family: Bacterial small subunit ribosomal RNA
Source: RNAcentral
UACGUAGGGGGCAAGCGUUGUCCGGAUUUAUUGGGCGUAAAGAGCGUGUAGGCGGCCUGAAAGGUCAGCUGUGAAAACUCGAGGCUCAACCUCGAGACGCCGAUGGAAACCCCCGAACUAGAGUCCGGAAGAGGAGAGUGGAAUUCCUGGUGUAGCGGUGAAAUGCGCAGAUAUCAGGAAGAACACCCGUGGCUAAGGCGGCUCUCUAGUACGGUACUGACGCUGAGACGCGAAAGCGUGGGGAGCGAACAGG